Molecule: long non-coding RNA, 1025 nt
Filed under: Monodelphis domestica (gray short-tailed opossum)
Lineage: Eukaryota; Metazoa; Chordata; Mammalia; Didelphimorphia; Didelphidae
Description: lncRNA (ENSMODG00000043830.1)
Source: RNAcentral
AGGGGGCAGCUUGCCUAGAACUUUGACUGAGUUUUUAUUUGAUCCUGGAGAUGAAAGGAAACUACUAGCACCUGGGAGUGAGAGCCCAGAGAUCAGCCUUGUACUUAAGGAAGAUUAGUUUGACAGCUGAAUGGAAGAUGGAUGGAGUGGACUGAGAAGAGACUCAAGGGCAGAAUCAGCUCCUGACGGUGGGGUAUUGUGGGGUAGAGAGAGGAGAGGAAAGUUUGAAUAUGUUGCUUCUGGGAAGGGAAGGUGGAGAAGAAACAUGGUAAACUGAUUUUUUUUCUAUGCUGUGAAAGAAUUAUAAAUAUUUCCAAUGCUUUCAAAAUAGUCACCCUGGGGCAAAGCCCUGGUAACUCCACCCUGUACCUUAUUGCUUUUUCGCUGCCAGCUCUGUUUUGUGAGAUGAGGCAGAAAAAUCUUCCUAGUACUACUUUUCCCUUUCUUGCCACAUGCCCGGAACACAUUUUUACACAGAAAAAAAAAUACAAAUGGUAGUUCUGUGACUAAAGCUCAGUUACAACAUAAGUUUAAUGUAUCUGUUGAGAACCCUAACCAUCUAACCAUAACAUAGCAUUCUUUCUGAGGGGAAAUGCAUGAUCUUACAUUGAAUGAGAAGAGAACUGGGAACACACUCUACAAUUGGUGGAGAAAAGGGAGUGGUGGGUCAGCUCUGUGAACAUUCCUUUCUCUUCUGUCUUCAUCCAUUCCAUCCCCACUCUCUAUCUCCAAGCAUGUGAAGAUAAAAGAACUUGAUGAGUGAAGAAUCUCUGAGGUUCCUGGUGGGGUCGCUACUCCCAGGAGGUCAUGGGCUGGUCCUUCACUUGUAUGGAAUGGUCAUAAAUCAGGUGUUUUUUUUUUUUACACUUUUAACAUUAUAUCAAUCAAAUUACUAAGUGGGUGCUUUAACAACAUAAUGAGAAAUGUAAUUAUUAUAUAUUAAGUAUAUACAUAUAAUUAAUAAUAAUAUAACAAAGCAUUUUUAUGAAAUAAUAAAAAAUUCAUUUGGAGAAGCUAAAAUAUCA